Molecule: transfer RNA, 81 nt
Filed under: Podarcis lilfordi (Lilford's wall lizard)
Lineage: Eukaryota; Metazoa; Chordata; Lepidosauria; Squamata; Lacertidae
Description: tRNA.Ile
Source: RNAcentral
ACAACUGGAUAGCUCAGCUGGUUAGAGCAUGUUGCUGAUAAUGCCAAGGUUGCAGGUUUGAUCCCCAUAUGGACAGCUGCA